Molecule: unclassified non-coding RNA, 402 nt
Filed under: soil metagenome
Description: partial contains 5.8S ribosomal RNA, internal transcribed spacer 2, and large subunit ribosomal RNA
Rfam family: 5.8S ribosomal RNA (bases 1-121)
Source: RNAcentral
GAUGAAGAACGCAGCGAAAUGCGAUAAGUAAUGUGAAUUGCAGAAUUCAGUGAAUCAUCGAAUCUUUGAACGCACCUUGCGCCCUUUGGCUAUUCUGAAGGGCAUGCCUGUUUGAGUAUCAUGAACACCUCAACUCUCAUGGUUCGCCAUGAUGAGCUUGGACUUUGGGGGUCUUGCUGGCCUACGGUCGGCUCCUCUCAAAUGAAUCAGCUUGCCAGUGUUUGGUAGAGUCGCAGGUGUGAUAACUAUCUACGCUUGUGGUUUUCUGCCAGAUAACCUUCAGUGACGGAGGUUCGCUGGAGCUUAUAAAUGUCUCUCCCCAGUGAGGACAGCUUUUUGAACGUUUGAUCUCAAAUCAGGUAGGACUACCCGCUGAACUUAAGCAUAUCAAUAAGCGGAGGA